Molecule: long non-coding RNA, 3365 nt
Filed under: Canis lupus familiaris (dog)
Lineage: Eukaryota; Metazoa; Chordata; Mammalia; Carnivora; Canidae
Description: lncRNA (ENSCAFG00845004431.1)
Source: RNAcentral
GCAAAAUACAGGAUGCUGCUGACACAGGUUCUGGGGAGGAAAAAGGCAUGUUUUAUUUCAAAUAAAACAAAACAAUAAAGAUGGCUAGGACAUAGCACAACUGGAUGGCUAAGAAUUCAAAAGCAAGAUACCAGAAAAAUAAAAAAUCAAAACCUAAUUGUUGUAAUGGUUUCAGGCUAAAAAAAUAAACUGCUUUUAAGACUUGAAAGUUGACUGGGCAAGGCAGAUUUUGAAGAAAUUAUUCAACAGUCAUAAAUUACAAAUUGAGAGAAUAAGGAAGGUCAGGCUGUACAAAAACCCAUGGGAAACCCACCUGAACCAGACGGCCACAAAAAGUACAUUAGCUUUUGUCUGAAACAGGUGUCAUUUACCUGUGAAUGAAGAAAUUGUGCCAGUCACUGGGGGAUCUCUUCAGGUAAUUCCAGAUGACAGUGGUGGCCCUGGUCUCUCUCUAAGGCUCCAGAGCCUCUCAGAGCCCACAGGACUUUUAAGGUACUUAAAUAUGUGGUAUAUUUUGACAACAGCAUGUUUUAUAAGUCAUUUGUCAUCAGCAAACUUUAGACAAGGUUAAUGAAAGUUCUGUCACUUUAAUGUCUAGCCGGCUUUAAAUUACAAAUGUCAUGCGCCAUGACUAAAGAAAGGGCACCGCAAUAAUACCAUAAACCAUCAUCUCCAGGGACAUACAGGUAAUUGCAUAGCUCAUUAAAAAACUGUUUUAAUUAUUAAUUGACCGUGUCAGAGUUGUCCUUUGAAGUCAAUUUUAAUUUUUUUUUCCUUGCAAGCAUUAUGAUUUCAAGCUGACCUAGAGAACUUUGUGUACCACCUAAAAAACUGCCAGCAGAGGUUGCUAAGGAAGCUCUCCAAUACUGAAAAUUACUUUCCAAGUCAUUUGCACAUGAUCUGCUUAUUGAGGGGAAGGAAAGAGCUGAACAUUUUUGGAGAGGUUUGGUGUAAUUCCAUCACUUUAUAGAGAUCACAGAACAACAAAGAGAAUCUAAGUGUGGUGGAAAGAGCAAGCACUUGUCUUUUUUUUUUUAGCACUUGUCUUUUUAAGUUUUCUUCCAUGAGGAUAGAAUGCCAAACAAUGACUUUUGCAGAAGACCACAGGACAAUCUGAUCAGGCCUUAGCUGAACUCAUGGACAGCACAGCUCAUUAAGUUUCUUAUUUAAUAAGUAAUUCAAUAAAUAAGCUGUUUGCAAUCUUCAGGGCUGAACAGUCCUCACUCACAAUGGGCAACAAUAAUUCAUAUACCUAAACCUAUCCUUCAAGUUCCCGUGUUCAAGAGAGAACCUAGCAGUCUCACUUCUCUUUUUCUGAAUGAAUCCAGAAAGCACCAUCUAGAAAGACAAAGAUUAUGUCCAUUCCUGCAAGAGAUGCCAAUGGCAUCCAGAAUUAAAUGACUAAUUCUAUAUUUAUAAAGAGACCAGCAUCCAUAAUGUCAAAUGACAGAUCCUCACCAAUUUAUUAGCAGAUUGAACUUUCACUGUUAAGAAAAAGAAUUUCUCAAGAUCGGGAUCUUAUAAAUUAACCCAGUCCUUCCUGCAAACCAUUUUAAAAAAGACCAUGCCAACCUUAAGAUUGAAGGAUUCAUUUUCUCAUAAAAAUCUGGGGUGAACUGAUCUUCUUGCAAGAAGAUCCAAUUACAACACAAACUAAAAAUCGGGGACCAGUAUUAUGUUGGGGUACAGUCACAAAGCCAAGCUCAAUCUAGUUCCAUCAAUACAAACACCGACAGCUAGUCUGUCCAUCAAGUUUGUAGAGCCAACAACUCACAACUCAAACCUACAAUCAAUUUAUGGACUCUGCUGUUGUUAAUGACUAUGCCGGGAGAGUAACACCAGAAACCUGACAGCACCCUCAGAACUCACAGAUCAUCUCCCAGAAUGUGAAAAUGAGCUAAGUCAUUUGUGCUGCAUUGUCUGCACCUUGAGAAUUAAACAGUGACUACCAACUGGUAACAGAAAUUCUUCUCACUGGGGGCUGAACACCUGAUUCUCCUCUGCACAUCAGGCAGAGACUAGCAAACAGAAUGACAGGAAGGAGCCAUUCCAUCCACAGUCCCUACAUUAUGGAGAACUGUGCAAAGAUGCAGAGCAAAUCCCCUAAGUAAAUAAAUAUACAAAUAUAUAACUAAAAUUAAAAUACUCUGAAAAUGGGACGUAAUGGCACAGGGCUCAGGAAACUAGGGCUCACGAAUAAAAGCCCAUUCUACUGCCCUGUGGACCUGAGCUACGAAUCAUCCCUGCCCCCCACCUCAAUGUGGGGAUUGAACCUAUGACCCUGAGAUCAACAGUCACACGCUCUGCUGACUAAGCCAGCCAGGCACCCCUCAUUUUCACAUUUUUAAGUGGUUGGGAGAAACAUUUUUUUCAAGAAUAAUAUAUCACAACUCACAAAAGUUAUAGGAAAUUUAAAUUUCAGUGUCCAUAAAUAAAGUUUUAUUGGCACACAGCCAUGCUUGUUCGUUUACAUAUUGUGUGUGGCAGCUUUCAUGCUACAACGGCAGAGUUGAGUGGUUGUGAAAGACACCGUAUGGCCCACAAAGCCUAACAUAUUUACUAACUUGCCCUUUGCAGAGAAAAUUCACCAACCUCCGUUAGAAUGAAAGGGAGCCUACGAUGCUAACCUUCAAUGGCAUAUCCAAGUGAGAUCACCCCAGCUCGUUCCUUCUAGCAAUACUGAUAUUUAAUAAUUUAAAGAUCCCCCCCAAAGAGGAGAUUUCACAAUAAAUGAUAAAUCUCUCCAGCCAGAGGGUACAGCAGAAGUGUCUCCAAAUUGAUUAUAAAGUUCUAUCUCUGGUAUACACAUAUAAGUGCAAUACAAUGUACAAUAUUCUAAUUAAAUUGAAGAAUGGCUGCACAAGCCAUGUUUCUAUUAGCCAGGUCUUAUUUGAUUUAGCAGCAGUAAUGAAUGCUGAAUCAGGUUAGGGUUGUUGGGCUUAUCUGGCUUUGCCAAUCUACUGAAAUUAGGAUAAUAAAACUGAAGAUAUGUAAUAGUGAAGACAUUUAAAAAGAAAACUCGUUUAUCUUCAAUUAAAAUAUCCACCAUACUGACAAUAAACUUAUUACUCCUCCCUACAGAAAGGUUAGGUUGAAGCACAUAGCACAUUAUAAAAAGAAUUCAGUCGGGCAUGGGGACGGUGGAGUUACAUUUUAGAAGUCCAAAAAUAGCCUGGUUUUCCUGUGAUACCAACACUUCACACAUUUGUGGAAAAAAAACAACAGGCAAAACACAGAAGCUUAAAAUAUUCUCUGACAAACUGCUGCACUAGAUUUUUGGCUUCAUUAUAAAGCUAAAUCUCCCUACGUAGAGUGGGGAAAGGGAUGGUGAUCCAGUUUCCUGAAAUGAGCAGAACUGGCUGGGG